This 738-nucleotide ribosomal RNA is filed under the name uncultured Alphaproteobacteria bacterium. RNAcentral's name for it is "bacterial SSU rRNA". It matches the Rfam family "Bacterial small subunit ribosomal RNA", at positions 586 to 1323 of the family's 1533-position model. The record is from RNAcentral. Lineage: Bacteria; Pseudomonadati; Pseudomonadota; Alphaproteobacteria.
AGUCAGAAGUGAAAGCCCACGGCUCAACCGUGGAACUGCUUUUGAAACUGCAAGUCUAGGAUCCGGGAGGGGUGAGUGGAAUCCUAGUGUAGAGGUGAAAUUCGCAGAUAUUAGGAGGAACACCAGUGGCGAAGGCGACUCACUGGACCGGCAUUGACGCUCAGACACGAAAGCGUGGGGAUCAAACAGGAUUAGAUACCCUGGUAGUCCACGCUGUAAACGAUGUGUGUUAGUUGUCAGGCCCAUAGGGUUUGGUAACAAAGCGAAAGUAUUAAACACACCGCCUGGGGAGUACGGCCGCAAGGCUAAAACUCAAAGGAAUUGACGGGGACCCGCACAAGCGGUGGAGCAUGUUGUUUAAUUCGAAGCAACGCGAAGAACCUUACCCACACUUGACAUCCUCCUUGGGACUUUCAGAGAUGAUUGUCUUCGGUUCGGCCGGGGGAGUGACAGGUGCUGCACGGCUGUCGUCAGCUCGUGUCGUGAGAUGUUUGGUUAAGUCCAGCAACGAGCGCAACCCUUAUCGUAUGUUGCCAGCAGGUCAAGCUGGGCACUCGUGCGAGACUGCCGGUGAUAAGCUGGAGGAAGGCGGGGACGACGUCAAGUCAUCAUGGCCCUUACGUGUGGGGCUACAAACGUGCUACGAUGGCUACGACAAUGGGCAGCGAACCCGCGAGGGUAAGCGAAUCUCAAAACGUAGUCUCAGUUCGGAUUGUUCUCUGCAACUCGAGAGCAUGA